GGACGAACGCUGGCGGCGUGCUUAACACAUGCAAGUCGAACGAGAGGAGAAGGAAGCUUGCUUCUUUCAAAUCUAGUGGCAAACGGGUGAGUAACACGUAAACAACCUGCCUUCAGGAUGGGGACAACAGACGGAAACGACUGCUAAUACCGAAUACGUUCCUUAGGUCGCAUGACUUUAGGAAGAAAGGGUGGCCUCUACUUGUAAGCUAUCGCCUGAAGAGGGGUUUGCGUCUGAUUAGGUAGUUGGUGGGGUAACGGCCCACCAAGGCGACGAUCAGUAGCCGGUCUGAGAGGAUGAACGGCCACAUUGGGACUGAGACACGGCCCAAACUCCUACGGGAGGCAGCAGUGGGGAAUCUUCCGCAAUGGGCGCAAGCCUGACGGAGCAACGCCGCGUGAGUGAAGAAGGUUUUCGGAUCGUAAAGCUCUGUUGAGAGGGACGAGAGGCAAGGCUAGGAAAUGAGCUUUGUAGGACGGUACCUUUCGAGGAAGCCACGGCUAACUACGUG
Molecule: ribosomal RNA, 511 nt
Filed under: uncultured bacterium
Lineage: Bacteria
Description: bacterial SSU rRNA
Rfam family: Bacterial small subunit ribosomal RNA
Source: RNAcentral